RNAcentral lists this ribosomal RNA (1279 nucleotides) under marine metagenome. RNAcentral describes it as "bacterial LSU rRNA". It matches the Rfam family "Bacterial large subunit ribosomal RNA", at positions 1666 to 2925 of the family's 2925-position model. The record is from RNAcentral.
GCUUGGUUAUCACCGUAAAAUACAUCAACAUUACGCAUAGACAUUUUAGCGUCAUACCAAGGCGCUUGAGAGAACUACGUUGAAGGAACUCGGCAAAAUACCUCCGUAAGUUCGCGAGAAGGAGGCCCGGUUCCUAGGCAACUAGGGGCUGGGGGCACAAACCAGGGGGUGGCGACUGUUUACUAAAAACACAGGGCUCUGCGAAGUCGCAAGACGACGUAUAGGGUCUGACGCCUGCCCGGUGCCUGAAGGUUAAAAGGAGGGGUGAGAGCUCUGAAUUGAAGCCCAGGUAAACGGCGGCCGUAACUAUAACGGUCCUAAGGUAGCGAAAUUCCUUGUCGGGUAAGUUCCGACCUGCACGAAUGGCGUAACGACUUCCCCGCUGUCUCCAACAUAGACUCAGCGAAAUUGAAUUGCCUGUCAAGAUGCAGGCUUCCCGCGGUUAGACGGAAAGACCCCGUGCACCUUUACUACAGCUUCGCACUGGCAUCAGGCACAACAUGUGCAGGAUAGGUGGUGGGCUUUGAAGCAGAAACGCCAGUUUCUGUGGAGCCUCCCUUGAGAUACCACCCUUGUUCUGCUUGAUGUCUAACCGCGGUCCGUUAUCCGGAUCCGGGACCCUGCGUGGCGGGUAGUUUGACUGGGGCGGUCGCCUCCCAAAGAGUAACGGAGGCGCGCGAAGGUUGGCUCAGAGCGGUCGGAAAUCGCUCGUUGAGUGCAAUGGCAGAAGCCAGCCUGACUGCGAGACUGACAAGUCGAGCAGAGACGAAAGUCGGCCAUAGUGAUCCGGUGGUCCCGAGUGGAAGGGCCAUCGCUCAACGGAUAAAAGGUACGCCGGGGAUAACAGGCUGAUACUGCCCAAGAGCUCAUAUCGACGGCAGUGUUUGGCACCUCGAUGUCGGCUCAUCACAUCCUGGGGCUGGAGCAGGUCCCAAGGGUAUGGCUGUUCGCCAUUUAAAGUGGUACGUGAGCUGGGUUUAGAACGUCGUGAGACAGUUCGGUCCCUAUCUGCCGUGGGUGUAGGAUACUUGAGAGGAGUUGCCCCUAGUACGAGAGGACCGGGGUGAACGAUCCACUGGUGGACCUGUUGUUGCGCCAGCAGCAGUGCAGGGUAGCUAUGAUCGGACAGGAUAACCGCUGAAGGCAUCUAAGCGGGAAGCCCCCCUCAAAACAAGGUAUCCCUGAGAGCCGUGGAAGACCACCACGUCGAUAGGCCGGAGAUGUAAGCAUGGUAACAUGUUCAGUUGACCGGUACUAAUGGCCCGAUAGGCUUGAUUUG